Molecule: ribosomal RNA, 253 nt
Filed under: uncultured bacterium
Lineage: Bacteria
Description: partial 16S ribosomal RNA
Rfam family: Bacterial small subunit ribosomal RNA
Source: RNAcentral
UACGAAGGGGGCGAGCGUUGUUCGGAUUCAUUGGGCGUAAAGGGUGCGUAGGCGGCGCGGUAAGUCGGGUGUGAAAUCUCGGAGCUUAACUCCGAAACUGCAUUCGAUACUGCCGUGCUUGAGGACUGGAGAGGAGACUGGAAUUCAUGGUGUAGCAGUGAAAUGCGUAGAGAUCAUGAGGAAGACCAGUGGCGAAGGCGGGUCUCUGGACAGUUCCUGACGCUGAGGCACGAAGGUCAGGGGAGCAAACGGG